Molecule: ribosomal RNA, 253 nt
Filed under: uncultured bacterium
Lineage: Bacteria
Description: partial 16S ribosomal RNA
Rfam family: Bacterial small subunit ribosomal RNA
Source: RNAcentral
UACAGAGGGGGCAAGCGUUAUUCGGAAUUAUUGGGCGUAAAGGGCGCGUAGGCGGCUUUGCAAGUGACGGGUGAAAGCCCUCGGCUUAACCGAGGAACUGCCUGUCAGACUGUGAGGCUUGAGACCGGGAGAGGUGAGUGGAAUUCCCAGUGUAGCGGUGAAAUGCGUAGAGAUCCGGAGGAACACCAGAGGCGAAGGCGGCCUACUGGGCUGCACCUGACGCUGAGCCGCGAAAGCCAGGGGAGCGAACGGG